This 373-nucleotide ribosomal RNA is filed under the name uncultured organism. RNAcentral's name for it is "partial 16S ribosomal RNA". It matches the Rfam family "Bacterial small subunit ribosomal RNA", at positions 527 to 896 of the family's 1533-position model. The record is from RNAcentral.
GUAGGUGGCAAGCGUUGUCCGGAAUUAUUGGGCGUAAAGCGCGCGCAGGCGGUCCUUUAAGUCUGAUGUGAAAGCCCACGGGCUCAACCGUGGAGGGUCAUUGGAAACUGGGGGACUUGAGUACAGAAGAGGAAAGCGGAAUUCCAAGUGUAGCGGUGAAAUGCGUAGAGAUUUGGAGGAACACCAGUGGCGAAGGCGGCUUUCUGGUCUGUAACUGACGCUGAGGCGCGAAAGCGUGGGGAGCAAACAGGAUUAGAUACCCUGGUAGUCCACGCCGUAAGCGAUGAGUGCUAAGUGUUAGGGGGUUUCCGCCCCUUAGUGCUGCAGCUAACGCAUUAAGCACUCCGCCUGGGGAGUACGGCCGCAAAGGCUG